CCUACGGGAGGCAGCAGUGGGGAAUAUUGCACAAUGGGGGAAACCCUGAUGCAGCGACGCCGCGUGAAGGAAGAAGUAUUUCGGUAUGUAAACUUCUAUCAGCAGGGAAGAAAAUGACGGUACCUGACUAAGAAGCCCCGGCUAACUACGUGCCAGCAGCCGCGGUAAUACGUAGGGGGCAAGCGUUAUCCGGAUUUACUGGGUGUAAAGGGAGCGUAGGCGGUCCAGCAAGUCAGAAGUGAAAGCCCGGGGCUCAACUCCGGGACUGCUUUUGAAACUGUUGAACUAGAGUGCAGGAGAGGUAAGUGGAAUUCCUAGUGUAGCGGUGAAAUGCGUAGAUAUUAGGAGGAACACCAGUGGCGAAGGCGGCUUACUGGACUGUAAAUGACGCUGAGGCUCGAAAGCGUGGGGAGCAAACAGGAUUAGAUACCCUGGUAGUC
RNAcentral lists this ribosomal RNA (440 nucleotides) under uncultured bacterium. RNAcentral describes it as "partial 16S ribosomal RNA". It matches the Rfam family "Bacterial small subunit ribosomal RNA", at positions 338 to 795 of the family's 1533-position model. The record is from RNAcentral.